RNAcentral lists this ribosomal RNA (276 nucleotides) under uncultured bacterium. Its description in RNAcentral is "partial 16S ribosomal RNA". It matches the Rfam family "Bacterial small subunit ribosomal RNA", at positions 524 to 792 of the family's 1533-position model. The record is from RNAcentral.
UACGGGGGGGGGCAAGCGUUGUUCGGAAUUACUGGGCGUAAAGGGCGCGUAGGCGGUCUGUUAAGUCACACGUGAAAUCCCUCGGCUCAACCGGGGAACUGCGUGUGAUACUGGCGGGCUUGAAUUCGGGAGAGGGGAUGUGGAAUUCCAGGUGUCAGUGCGGUGAAAUGCGUAGAUAUCUGGAGGAACACCGGUGGCGAAGGCGGGUCUCUGGGCAACAACUGACGCUGAGGAGCGAAAGCGUGGGGAGCGAACAGGAUUGAGAUACCCCCUGUA